This is a long non-coding RNA of Phacochoerus africanus (Common warthog), 1145 nucleotides long. RefSeq lists it as uncharacterized. Lineage: Eukaryota; Metazoa; Chordata; Mammalia; Artiodactyla; Suidae. The transcript has 3 exons. The record is from RefSeq and is a predicted model, not a curated record.
UGUGUGCCAGGCAGGGUGCCGCGUGCUUCAUGAACAUUAACUAAAAUGACCCUUGUAUCUUCUCUAUGAAGCAUGUUCUUCGCUUUAUAACUAAGGUACAGGGAGGCCAGGUGACUUGUCCAAGGUUGUGCAGCUACCCCAUGGCAGAGGCAGGAUUAGAACCCAGGCACUCUGGCUCCAGAGUCCUAGCUUAUAACCACUACCCCACAGUGACUCCUUUAGGCCUUCCCUGGCCCUGUCGCCACCUGUAAUGAUCUUGUCUGUCCUGCCAGCGUGUGGCACAGCAAGAAGUACCUGUGGCAUGAAUUUCUGGGUCAAGUGACUGUGUCCAUCCGGAGACUGGCAGGAAGCUUGGGUGUCACCCAGAGAUAGAGGUUGAGGAAUUGAGGAUUUUCUGGGGAGCAGUGGAGGUGGAGGCCAGGCCAGGAGGUGGGAGAUGAGGGCUGAGGACCCAAGAGCAGGGCAUGCUCAUGCCUACUAGACUGGUGCCAACACCAGCUCCCAGUGUGCUCUCAACAUGGCGCCUGUCCUCCUCUCCCAUCCCCCUCCUCCGUUCUCUCUCCCACCCCCCACAACAGCAGUGCUGACCGACCUCCUCCAUCUGCAAACGUCCCAGGCUGCCUUGGUCUCCUGCCUGGUCUGGCCUGAUGCAUCCCAGAAAGAUCUGAGAGGAGGUGUAGCAUCUGGAGCAACCUGUCCUCUAACCCUGGGCCUGGCUUAGGCUACGUGAUCUUCAAAUAUCAACGUUCACAGAACUUGAGAAGAAGAAAGGAGGGACCACACCCCUGGCAGCUGAGGGACCCCUGGCCCCAGUCUCAGGUUGAGACAUAGAUGUGCCUGGGUGUGGGGCUGGUGUAUCUGAGAAGAAUGGCCGCCUCACAGACACCUGCCGGCCCAGAAAGCAUGGGGGCUGCCGCUGCCUGAUAGAGGAUCCUUCCGUGUGCACUAAGGUUCCUCCCAGUGCGGCGGGGGCCGCUGUCCUGCACAAACAUCUUCAGGCAAACAUUCCAAGAACAGAGUGAUUCUGGACCCCUACCACCCGAGGCCCGGCCCCACCACCCUGGGACGUGCUGGUCCACAUGGUUGACUCACCAGAAGGUGAAGAGAGCCACAACACCCAAGGUCACCAGCAGCUGGAUCAACAG